Molecule: ribosomal RNA, 444 nt
Filed under: uncultured Enterobacteriaceae bacterium
Lineage: Bacteria; Pseudomonadati; Pseudomonadota; Gammaproteobacteria; Enterobacterales; Enterobacteriaceae
Description: bacterial SSU rRNA
Rfam family: Bacterial small subunit ribosomal RNA
Source: RNAcentral
UGGAGCAUGUGGUUUAAUUCGAUGCAACGCGAAGAACCUUACCUGGUCUUGCAUCCACAGAACUUUCCAGAGAUGGAUUGGUGCCUUCGGGAACUGUGAGACAGGUGCUGCAUGGCUGUCGUCAGCUCGUGUUGUGAAAUGUUGGUAGUCCGCAACGAGCGCAACCCUUAUCCUUUGUUGCCAGCGGUCCGGCCGGGAACUCAAAGGAGACUGCCAGUGAUAAACUGGAGGAAGGUGGGAUGACGUCAAGUCAUCAUGGCCCUUACGACCAGGGCUACACACGCGCUACAAUGGCGCAUACAAAGAGAAGCGACCUCGCGAGAGCAAGCGGACCUCAUAAAGUGCGUCGUAGUCCGGAUUGGAGUCUGCAACUCGACUCCAUGAAGUCGGAAUCGCUAGUAAUCGCGGAUCAGCACGCCGCGGUCGAAUACGUUCCCGGGCCUU